This 118-nucleotide ribosomal RNA is filed under the name Pteropus alecto (black flying fox). The record is from RNAcentral. Lineage: Eukaryota; Metazoa; Chordata; Mammalia; Chiroptera; Pteropodidae.
CUCUACGGCCAUGCUACCCUGAACGAGCCCGAUCCAGUCUGAUCUUGGAAGCUAGCAAGGUCGGGCCUGGUUAGUACUUGGAUGGGAGACCACCUAGGAAGACCAGGUGCUGUAGGUG